This 271-nucleotide ribosomal RNA is filed under the name uncultured bacterium. RNAcentral describes it as "partial 16S ribosomal RNA". It matches the Rfam family "Bacterial small subunit ribosomal RNA", at positions 524 to 794 of the family's 1533-position model. The record is from RNAcentral.
UACGUAGGGUGCAAGCGUUGUCCGGAAUUAUUGGGCGUAAAGAGCUCGUAGGCGGUUUGUCGCGUCUGCUGUGAAAACCUGGGGCUUAACUCCGGGCCUGCAGUGGGUACGGGCAGACUAGAGUGCGGUAGGGGAGACUGGAAUUCCUGGUGUAGCGGUGAAAUGCGCAGAUAUCAGGAGGAACACCGGUGGCGAAGGCGGGUCUCUGGGCCGUAACUGACGCUGAGGAGCGAAAGCGUGGGGAGCGAACAGGAUUAGAUACCCUAGUAGU